This is a long non-coding RNA of Populus trichocarpa (black cottonwood), 1633 nucleotides long. RefSeq lists it as uncharacterized. The record is from RefSeq and is a predicted model, not a curated record. The transcript is spliced from 3 exons. Lineage: Eukaryota; Viridiplantae; Streptophyta; Magnoliopsida; Malpighiales; Salicaceae.
UCCAAAACUUAAUUGAUUGAAGAAUUAAUGGCAGGAGAAAACGCAAUGUUCAAGUUCUUGAGUCCCAGACUCCGCCUCCAAUCCACCGAUAUCCAAACUGCCGCCUUUUGGGGUGUCGCCGCCGGCACCACCGCUCUAUGGCUUGUCCAGCCAUUUGAUUGGAUUAAAAAGACCUUUUUCGAGAAAGCAAACACUGAAGAGAAGUGAAGAAGAAUCAACUUUCUGGUAACAGCUUUCUGAUUUCUUCUUUCAGGUUGCUGAGAAAAACCAUGAACAAAGUCUAUAUGAAUAAUGUUGUUUAAUUUUGCACUUUAUUGAUGAGUCCUUGUUGGCAUUAUUCAUGACAAUGAUUUGAGAAUUAAACGCUUUUGUUUCUUGUUAUAUGUACUUUGGCUUGUCUCUCCCCCCAUAUGCAUUGCUUUCAGUUUCUAAAUUGCUGUGUGAAAGGUAAGUAGUGUUAAAUCUCUCUAAAUAUGCCAAAAGGAAAUGAGACGGCAAGUACCUCUUGAAUCAUGAGGUUAAGUGUGUUGGGGUGAUUCACAGUGGAGAAAAUUUGAGUUUCUACUUAAUUAUAGAACCGUACAAAUGGUAGAUUACUUCUUCACAGAUUUAAAUAAUGCUGGUGUGAAAUUUUAUCGCUGUAUCCUUUGCCUAUGUGGUAGAUUAAUCAAUGUAUUCAAUUUUUGUUAAGUGGCUUCGCUUUUAGAGAAACUAUAAUUUGUUCCUUUUUAUUAAAUUUUGUUUUCAUACUUGAUAAAAAGUCUUUAUUAUAUUUCUUUUCUAGAUUGAAAAAUUAUUUUCUCACAUUUUCUUUUUCAAUAUAAUUAUAUACUCUUCUUGUCUUCCAUGUUGGAGUAUAGUAUUUAUUUUUUAAUUGUUUUGUUUUUGUACUAUUAGCUAUCAACCUUUCCUCAAAAAGGACUUCAAAAGCUACACUAGUCAGUAUUCGAAUAUACCGUUUGUUUCAACUUGAUAUUUAAUUAAAUGAUGUGUAGACAGACAUUUAGGGCUCUAGGAAAUUGAAUCAAGUCAAAAAAUUUGAUAAAAAACUGUACUCGAGUCCUGAGCUUGUAAGAUCUGUAUGUGAUAGUAUUUGAAGUUUCAUGCUAUGGUAAUGCAAUGCUAGGUACUGUCUUUUUACAUGUUUCCUGUCUGGUUGGUAAAUUUGAAAUGUUUCUUUUCUUGUGCUUAGCAUUGAAAAAGUUAAUCCGUACGCAAAUACUUUAGAAAAAUAAAAGGCUGAAAAGACCACAAAGAGAGAUCAAAACCCUCUUGGCUUUCCAACUCGAUCAAGCUUUAGUGUUUGUAUGGUAACUGAACUCUGAAGCAGCAGCAGAUAGCUGCAAACCAUUCCAUGGCAUGUCACAUAUCAGCUCCCGUAUGACAUUCUCAUAAGGAUCUUCUGUGAAGUCCCAGUCACAACCAUUGACAGUACGUUUGCAAACCAUGUAGAGAGAUUCUUUCAGACCCUGAUUUUUCCUUCUCUUCAUGUCUCUCUCCUAGAAGUCCCUAAGAAAUACGUAGGAGGACUUGGAGAAACAUUUCAUCCAGCAUAAGCAUUUGAAUAAUCUGGAAUGCGACGUGGUAUGCCUACAAGUCUUAAGAAAUAAGAUAGGAGGUGGUCGUCAGAUUU